Molecule: antisense RNA, 169 nt
Filed under: Vibrio mytili
Lineage: Bacteria; Pseudomonadati; Pseudomonadota; Gammaproteobacteria; Vibrionales; Vibrionaceae
Description: Vibrio RNA AS7
Rfam family: Vibrio RNA AS7
About the family: Identified by direct cloning an parallel sequencing experiments with 5S/tRNA depletion. Confirmed by Northern blot.
Source: RNAcentral
GGUGUUUGUAAUAACAACUUACUGCGCUCGGUGAUGUCGCCACCAAUAUGAUAUGGCAAGCCGCAGUUGGCAAAUGAGACGAAAGGGCCGCGCUCAAACAUGAUGAUUUCCGCAUCUUCACUAAGACGACGAGCACGUGCAGCUGCAGAUGCACCACCUGCUACACCAC